GCCUUCAUGGCAUAACGGUUAGCACACUUGGCACAUAUUCAAGAGAUCCAGGUUCGAGUCCUGGCGAGGGCA
RNAcentral lists this transfer RNA (72 nucleotides) under Stegodyphus mimosarum. It matches the Rfam family "tRNA". Rfam says of the family: Transfer RNA (tRNA) molecules are approximately 80 nucleotides in length. Their secondary structure includes four short double-helical elements and three loops (D, anti-codon, and T loops). Further hydrogen bonds mediate the characteristic L-shaped molecular structure. tRNAs have two regions of fundamental functional importance: the anti-codon, which is responsible for specific mRNA codon recognition, and the 3' end, to which the tRNAs corresponding amino acid is attached (by aminoacyl-tRNA synthetases). tRNAs cope with the degeneracy of the genetic code in two manners: having more than one tRNA (with a specific anti-codon) for a particular amino acid; and 'wobble' base-pairing, i.e. permitting non-standard base-pairing at the 3rd anti-codon position. Lineage: Eukaryota; Metazoa; Arthropoda; Arachnida; Araneae; Eresidae. The record is from Rfam by way of RNAcentral.